GUUUGGCCACUAAGUUAGGCUAGUAGCCAAUGAAACCAUAGUCAGGAGUCUCAGCUUCAAUUCUUAUGGAUAAAAGUGUAGGGUUCGGAAAGGUUGCCCAAACAGAGUUUGACAUGGCAGCCGCUGAAGGAGAGACCCCUAGAAACCUUUUCCUGAACCAGGACGAACCCACACAUAGAUCCAUGAAAGGGGCCAUUGUUGAAGCAAAAAUGGUUGAUUCUAGGAAGAGAUUGAUGUAUUUCAUAAGUAUCUUUUGCGAGGUUUUUUUUAGGAAUACUCAGAGC
RNAcentral lists this long non-coding RNA (284 nucleotides) under Lathyrus oleraceus (garden pea). RNAcentral describes it as "Pisum sativum (pea) long non-coding RNA (PSAT_LNC023732)". The record is from RNAcentral. Lineage: Eukaryota; Viridiplantae; Streptophyta; Magnoliopsida; Fabales; Fabaceae.